GCGCCUUGCCAGCCCGCUCAGAAACUCAAAGGAAUUGACGGGACCCCGCACAAGCGGUGGAUCAUGUUGUUUUAAUUCGAUGAUACGCGAAGAACCUUACCAGGUCUUGACAUCCCCCGCGAUGCUUUAGAGAUAAAGCGGAGGUAUUCGGGGAGACAGGUGGUGCAUGGUUGUCGUCAGCUCGUGUCGUGAGAUGUUGGGUUAAGUCCCGCAACGAGCGCAACCCCUAUCUUUAGUUGCCAUCAGUUCGGCUGGGCACUCUAUGGAGACUGCCACCUAAAGUGGAGGAAGGUGGGGAUGACGUCAAGUCAGCAUGGCCCUUACGUCCGGGGCUACACACGUGCUACAAUGGCCGGUACAAAGGGUUGCGAAGCCGUGAGGUGGAGCGAAUCUCAAAAAGCCGGCCUCAGUUCGGAUUGGAGGCUGCAACUCGCCUCCAUGAAGUUGGAGUUGCUAGUAAUCGCGAAUCAGAAUGUCGCGGUGAAUGCGUUCCCGGGUCUU
RNAcentral lists this ribosomal RNA (501 nucleotides) under uncultured bacterium. RNAcentral's name for it is "bacterial SSU rRNA". It matches the Rfam family "Bacterial small subunit ribosomal RNA", at positions 903 to 1382 of the family's 1533-position model. The record is from RNAcentral.